GCGCCGAUAGUCUAGUGGUUAGGACUUGGGCCUUCCAAGCCUACAACCCGGGUUCAAAUCCCGGUCGGCGCA
RNAcentral lists this transfer RNA (72 nucleotides) under Methanocellales archaeon. RNAcentral's name for it is "tRNA-Gly". It matches the Rfam family "tRNA". From Rfam's summary of the family: Transfer RNA (tRNA) molecules are approximately 80 nucleotides in length. Their secondary structure includes four short double-helical elements and three loops (D, anti-codon, and T loops). The record is from RNAcentral. Lineage: Archaea; Methanobacteriati; Methanobacteriota; Methanomicrobia; Methanocellales.